RNAcentral lists this ribosomal RNA (435 nucleotides) under Triticum aestivum (bread wheat). RNAcentral describes it as "partial small subunit ribosomal RNA". The record is from RNAcentral. Lineage: Eukaryota; Viridiplantae; Streptophyta; Magnoliopsida; Poales; Poaceae.
AUGCGGAAGUGCACCAGGACAGCGGGGACCACCGGCAGGGGACGGCGGCUACCGGGGCUGUCGCAGGUACUCGGGCAGGAGAUGGAGAAGACGCAGCGCUGCGAUCUCUGGCGUGAAGGCGAAUCAGAGGAGGGCAGCAGCGGUGCGCUUGAGGCCGAACGGAGGGAGGAAGAGGUGCAGGCGCGAGGUGGCCCUCGGCUGCCAUGGACGGAGGUGAGGUCGGGGCAGAGGAACGCGGUGCAACUCGACUGCGGCAAUGUGGCAGCGGGAUCCGGGCAGCAAAGGAGAGACCGAGCCAGCGGCUGGGUGCUUCCUGGCGGCGCCAUGGCGGGGAGGCGAUGGUGCUGCAACAGGGCGCGGAGGACGACGGCUGCAGGCGCAGGUGCUCGAGGAGCUUCUCUCCUCGAGCGCUCGGGCGACGGGGACGAGGUGUAG